CUGGCGGCGUGCCUAAUACAUGCAAGUCGAACGCACUCUCGUUUAGAUUGAAGGAGCUUGCUCCUGAUUGAUAAACAUUUGAGUGAGCGGCGGACGGGUGAGUAACACGUGGGUAACCUGCCCUAAAGUGGGGGAUAACAUUUGGAAACAGAUGCUAAUACCGCAUAAAACCUAACACCGCAUGGUGUAGGGUUGAAAGAUGGUUUCGGCUAUCACUUUAGGAUGGACCCGCGGUGCAUUAGUUAGUUGGUGAGGUAAAGGCUCACCAAGACCGUGAUGCAUAGCCGACCUGAGAGGGUAAUCGGCCACACUGGGACUGAGACACGGCCCAGACUCCUACGGGAGGCAGCAGUAGGGAAUCUUCCACAAUGGACGAAAGUCUGAUGGAGCAGCGCCGCGUGAGUGAAGAAGGUUUUCGGAUCGUAAAACUCUGUUGUUGGAGAAGAAUGUAUCUGAUAGUAACUGAUCAGGUAGUGACGGUAUCCAACCAGAAAGCCACGGCUAACUACGUG
This 512-nucleotide ribosomal RNA is filed under the name uncultured bacterium. RNAcentral describes it as "bacterial SSU rRNA". It matches the Rfam family "Bacterial small subunit ribosomal RNA", at positions 36 to 507 of the family's 1533-position model. The record is from RNAcentral.